Molecule: ribosomal RNA, 253 nt
Filed under: uncultured bacterium
Lineage: Bacteria
Description: partial 16S ribosomal RNA
Rfam family: Bacterial small subunit ribosomal RNA
Source: RNAcentral
UACAGAGGGGGCAAGCGUUAUUCGGAAUUAUUGGGCGUAAAGGGCGCGUAGGCGGCUUUUCAAGUGACGGGUGAAAUCCCUUGGCUUAACCGAGGAACUGCCUGUCAGACUGGAAGGCUUGAGACCGGGAGAGGUGAGUGGAAUUCCCAGUGUAGCGGUGAAAUGCGUAGAUAUUGGGAGGAACACCAGUGGCGAAGGCGGCUCACUGGACCGGAACUGACGCUGAGGCGCGAAAGCGUGGGGAGCAAACAGG